RNAcentral lists this long non-coding RNA (319 nucleotides) under Androctonus crassicauda. Lineage: Eukaryota; Metazoa; Arthropoda; Arachnida; Scorpiones; Buthidae. The record is from RNAcentral.
UUUUCGCUUUUCGUUACGCUGUCUAAAGGCUGGUUCACACAGAGAGCGAACCGCUGGCAAAAAGCGAAAAGCGAAGCGAAAUAUGCAUCAUUGAUGACGUCGUAUCCGGCGAAUGUUCCUAUUUAGCGAAUCGCCUUCUAGUUCGGAAAUGUUGAACUAUUUCGCUGGCGAAUUAUAUUCGCAGCCAAUCAGGUUGAAGGUAUCACGUGCACUCGUUUGUAAUAUGACGGCAAGUGUACGUCUCGAGAAUUUUGAUGUGGAUGAAUUUUUGUUAGAAAAGGAAAGAUAUCCAUUUUUGUUUGAUAAAAAAGAUGCACGC